CAUUGGUUGAUCCUGCCGGACCUGACUGCUAUCGGAUUGCCACUAAGCCAUGUGAGUCGUUGUAGCAAUACAAGGCAUACGGCUCAGUAACACGUAGUCAAUCUAACCUGGGGACGGGGAUAACCUCGGGAAACUGAGGAUAAACCCCGAUAGAUCAUUAUGCCUGGAACGGUUUAUGGUCCAAAUGAUUCGUGUGCCGUAGGAUGGGACUGCGGCCUAUCAGCUUGUUGGUGAGGUGAUGGCCCACCAAGGCUAUUACAGGUACGGGCUCUGAGAGGAGUAGCCCGGAGAUGGGUACUGAGACACGGACCCAGGCCCUAUGGGGAUCCGCAGGCGAGAAAACUUUGCAAUGUGCGAAAGCACGACAAGGUUAAUCCGAGUGGUUUCUGCUAAAGGAACCUUUUGUCAGUCCUAGAAACACGGGGUAAUAAGGGGUGGGCAAGUUCUGGUGUCAGCCGCCGCGGUAAAACCAGCACCUCAAGUGGUCAGGAUGAUUAUUGGGCCUAAAGCAUCCGUAGCCUGCUUUGUUAGUUUUCGGUUAACAUUAUACGCUUAACGUAUGGGCUGCCGGGAAUACUGCAAAGCUAGGGAGUGGGAGAGGUAGACGGUACUCGGUAGGAAGGGGUAAAAUCCUUUGAUCUGCAGAUGACCACCUGUGGCGAAGGCGGUCUACCAGAACACGUCCGACGGUGAGGGAUGAAAGCUGGGGGAGCAAACCGGAUUAGAUACCCGGGUAGUCCCAGCUGUAAACUAUGUUAACUCGGUGAUGCAUUGGCUUGAUGCCAAUGCAGUGCCGCCUAGGAAGCCGUUAAGUUUGCCGCCUGGGAAGUACGUACGCAAGUCGUUGUG
This 849-nucleotide ribosomal RNA is filed under the name uncultured archaeon. RNAcentral's name for it is "bacterial SSU rRNA". It matches the Rfam family "Archaeal small subunit ribosomal RNA", at positions 1 to 853 of the family's 1478-position model. The record is from RNAcentral.